AUUGAACGCUGGCGGCAGGCCUAACACAUGCAAGUCGAGCGGAUGAAGGGAGCUUGCUCCUGGAUUCAGCGGCGGACGGGUGAGUAAUGCCUAGGAAUCUGCCUGGUAGUGGGGGAUAACGUCCGGAAACGGGCGCUAAUACCGCAUACGUCCUGAGGGAGAAAGUGGGGGAUCUUCGGACCUCACGCUAUCAGAUGAGCCUAGGUCGGAUUAGCUAGUUGGUGGGGUAAAGGCCUACCAAGGCGACGAUCCGUAACUGGUCUGAGAGGAUGAUCAGUCACACUGGAACUGAGACACGGUCCAGACUCCUACGGGAGGCAGCAGUGGGGAAUAUUGGACAAUGGGCGAAAGCCUGAUCCAGCCAUGCCGCGUGUGUGAAGAAGGUCUUCGGAUUGUAAAGCACUUUAAGUUGGGAGGAAGGGCAGUAAGUUACUACCUUGCUGUUUUGACGUUACCAACAGAAUAAGCACCGGCUAACUUCGUG
RNAcentral lists this ribosomal RNA (484 nucleotides) under uncultured bacterium. RNAcentral describes it as "partial 16S ribosomal RNA". It matches the Rfam family "Bacterial small subunit ribosomal RNA", at positions 30 to 507 of the family's 1533-position model. The record is from RNAcentral.